GUGGGGAAUAUUGGACAAUGGGCGCAAGCCUGAUCCAGCCAUGCCGCGUGAGUGAUGAAGGCCCUAGGGUUGUAAAGCUCUUUCACCGAUGAAGAUAAUGACGGUAGUCGGAGAAGAAGCCCCGGCUAACUUCGUGCCAGCAGCCGCGGUAAUACGAAGGGGGCUAGCGUUGUUCGGAAUUACUGGGCGUAAAGCACACGUAGGCGGAUAUUUAAGUCAGGGGUGAAAUCCCAGAGCUCAACUCUGGAACUGCCUUUGAUACUGGGUAUCUCGAGUAUGGAAGAGGUGAGUGGAAUUCCGAGUGUAGAGGUGAAAUUCGUAGAUAUUCGGAGGAACACCAGUGGCGAAGGCGGCUCACUGGUCCAUUACUGACGCUGAGGUGCGAAAGCGUGGGGAGCAAACAGGAUUAGAAACCCCUGUAGUCC
This 425-nucleotide ribosomal RNA is filed under the name uncultured bacterium. RNAcentral describes it as "partial 16S ribosomal RNA". It matches the Rfam family "Bacterial small subunit ribosomal RNA", at positions 354 to 796 of the family's 1533-position model. The record is from RNAcentral.